Panicum virgatum (switchgrass) is the source of this 1256-nucleotide long non-coding RNA. RefSeq lists it as uncharacterized. NCBI's taxonomy places the organism in Eukaryota, Viridiplantae, Streptophyta, Magnoliopsida, Poales, Poaceae. The record is from RefSeq and is a predicted model, not a curated record. The transcript has 6 exons.
GCGUCCACUAGCAAAGUCCCUCUCGCCUCGAUUUCUCUGGUCACCAGGUCCCGGUAGAACUGGCGUAUGCAUGAUGGAUCAUCUACAUGGAAUCCAAGGCUGAUAGUGGCAGCCUCCAACAUCGACGAUUGUACGCUCUUCAAUCUCCCUCUAUUGACUAUUGAGUUGAUGUUGAUAUGUGCAAUGCGGCUUCUAAUAUAUGAUUCUGGGUGAUCAAAUUUGCAUAAACCUGCACAGACCCAUGGUUUAUCAUGGAUGGCCUCCUCACCAACUGAAGCUACAGACUUCUGUUCGAUGAUUGUUCUUGCUGUGACGAUGCCUGACAUCCAGAGUUAUGUCGAGAUGUCUGAGUAGUGGAAAGCUUCACCAUUACCAACUGAACCUAUGGAGCUUUUUAUUGGCAUCCUUUCAGCUGCGGAAGCCUGGAGAUUCCAAAUGCAAAAUAGCAGAUUCUUUGAAAUUGACCACGGCGGAAGUUCGAGCGACCAUGGGACCUACCUUGCGGAAUGUCCGGAACCACACGCGGCAACUGUUGCGAGUUUGUGUUGAGAGGGGUAAUGCGUUGAGCAACCCAGUGAUGACUUAACUAAACUAAAAGAGCACUAAGGCUUACUCAUAUCUAGAUGAGGCUCGUAGCAUUGGUGCUGAUGUAGACCUAUGGGUUUCAGGUGAUCAACGGUAUUAUUAUCCACUAAAAGAUUAAUCAGGAUCUGAGAUAUAUGAGUUAUCUUCAGAGUUGGUUGCUGAGUAGAGCUCAUUUCAGCCAUAAUAUGAAAAAGGGUGGAGAAGAGAGAGCUAAAGGGGCUGAGAACCAAACUUCUAUGCCAUUAAGAAGUUUUAACCAAGUGUUGGUUGCUUGAGGCUGAGAAUCAGACUUCUUCAUCUUAUUAAGCCAUUGAAGUCACUUGAGAGAAGGCAUUAGUUCACUGGAGUCACUUGCAACGAACAUCCUUACUCAUCCUUUUGCUCCUUUAUACCCUGCAUAUAAGUGUAUCCUAAAUUUGAUAUUUGUUAGUCAGAUUUUGGAGGGUUUUUGUUUACUCACUUUGUAAAAUCCAGCUUUGGGAAAUAAAAGUCAAUACUUUGUGUAAAGUGUGUACUGGCUACUAAGUAUUGGGAGAGGAGAUAAAUGAUUCUCCGGUAAACGUUUUAGGAUUGGGAGAACUUCCAGAGAGUAAGUUCCUUGCCGUGUCAUUAACUCUUUUGAUUGUUUGAUUGCAUUAUCAAAUAUCACCGCAGUGUUAUCACAGACAUUA